UGGGGAAUAUUGCACAAUGGGCGAAAGCCUGAUGCAGCAACGCCGCGUGAGUGAUGAAGGUCUUCGGAUUGUAAAGCUCUGUCUUUUGGGACGAUAAUGACGGUACCAAAGGAGGAAGCCACGGCUAACUACGUGCCAGCAGCCGCGGUAAUACGUAGGUGGCGAGCGUUGUCCGGAUUUACUGGGCGUAAAGGGUGCGUAGGCGGAUGUUUAAGUGAGAUGUGAAAUACCCGGGCUUAACUUGGGUGCUGCAUUUCAAACUGGAUAUCUAGAGUGCAGGAGAGGAGAAUGGAAUUCCUAGUGUAGCGGUGAAAUGCGUAGAGAUUAGGAAGAACACCAGUGGCGAAGGCGAUUCUCUGGACUGUAACUGACGCUGAGGCACGAAAGCGUGGGUAGCAAACAGGAUUAGAUACCCUGGUAGUCCACGCCGUAAACGAUGAGUACUAGGUGUAGGAGGUAUCGACCCCUUCUGUGCCGCAGUAAAACACAUUAAGUACUCCGCCUGGGAAGUACGAUCGCAAGAUUAAAAAC
RNAcentral lists this ribosomal RNA (531 nucleotides) under uncultured bacterium. RNAcentral describes it as "partial 16S ribosomal RNA". It matches the Rfam family "Bacterial small subunit ribosomal RNA", at positions 355 to 900 of the family's 1533-position model. The record is from RNAcentral.